Molecule: ribosomal RNA, 521 nt
Filed under: uncultured bacterium
Lineage: Bacteria
Description: bacterial SSU rRNA
Rfam family: Bacterial small subunit ribosomal RNA
Source: RNAcentral
UGGGGAAUAUUGCACAAUGGGCGAAAGCCUGAUGCAGCAACGCCGCGUGAGCGAUGAAGGCCUUCGGGUCGUAAAGCUCUGUCCUAAGGGAAGAAUUUUGACGGUACCUUAGGAGGAAGCCCCGGCUAACUACGUGCCAGCAGCCGCGGUAAUACGUAGGGGGCAAGCGUUAUCUGGAAUCACUGGGCGUAAAGGGUGCGUAGGCGGUCUUACAAGUCAGGGGUGAAAGGCUACGGCUCAACCGUAGUAAGCCUUUGAAACUGUAGGACUUGAGUGCAGGAGAGGAAAGUGGAAUUCCUAGUGUAGCGGUGAAAUGCGUAGAUAUUAGGAGGAACACCAGUGGCGAAGGCGACUUUCUGGACUGUAACUGACGCUGAGGCACGAAAGUGUGGGGAGCAAACAGGAUUAGAUACCCUGGUAGUCCACACCGUAAACGAUGAGUGCUAGGUGUUGGGGGUCGAACCUCAGUGCCGCAGCUAACGCAUUAAGCACUCCGCCUGGGGAGUACGCUCGCAAGAGUG